UGGGGAAUAUUGCGCAAUGGGGGGAACCCUGACGCAGCCAUGCCGCGUGAAUGAAGAAGGCCUUCGGGUUGUAAAGUUCUUUCGGUAUUGAGGAAGGUUGAUGUGUUAAUAGCACAUCAAAUUGACGUUAAAUACAGAAGAAGCACCGGCUAACUCCGUGCCAGCAGCCGCGGUAAUACGGAGGGUGCGAGCGUUAAUCGGAAUAACUGGGCGUAAAGGGCACGCAGGCGGUUAUUUAAGUGAGGUGUGAAAGCCCCGGGCUUAACCUGGGAAUUGCAUUUCAGACUGGGUAACUAGAGUACUUUAGGGAGGGGUAGAAUUCCACGUGUAGCGGUGAAAUGCGUAGAGAUGUGGAGGAAUACCGAAGGCGAAGGCAGCCCCUUGGGAACGUACUGACGCUCAUGUGCGAAAGCGUGGGGAGCAAACAGGAUUAGAUACCCUGGUAGUCCACGCUGUAAACGCUGUCGAUUUGGGGGUUGGGGUUUAACUCUGGCGCCCGUAGCUAACGUGAUAAAUCGACCGCCUGGGGAGUACGGCCGCAAGGUUA
RNAcentral lists this ribosomal RNA (547 nucleotides) under uncultured bacterium. RNAcentral describes it as "bacterial SSU rRNA". It matches the Rfam family "Bacterial small subunit ribosomal RNA", at positions 355 to 896 of the family's 1533-position model. The record is from RNAcentral.